Molecule: non-coding RNA, 26 nt
Filed under: Homo sapiens (human)
Lineage: Eukaryota; Metazoa; Chordata; Mammalia; Primates; Hominidae
Source: RNAcentral
AGCCCAGUGUAACGUCAGUCCACAGA